CCCAAAGUGCUGGGAUUACAGGCGUGAGCCACGGUGCCUGGCCAAACAACUUGAUUUCACUUGGUGGUGUGGAACUUCAGCAUGAGUAAUUCCAUGUUGGUCUGGUGUGUUGGCCUCAUUGCAGGAGCUCAGUCCAAACCAAUGACCUCCUAUAAAAUUUUUUAACAGGACAAAUGCUGGCUUGGUGCAUGGCUUGGAGCAGUGGUGCACCUUGCAUUGUCAUCCACGCCCAUGGAAACUGCGAAGAUGGAGUUCUAAUAGAACACAGCCCUUCCUCUGACGUGCACAGGAUAUGAAAAUGUCUGAUAGUGUUGUGGCUGCAGUGAGACCUGGGAGUGGCAGUUUCUUUCACUGCAGUUGUCUGUCCAAAGCGAAGUGAACUAGCAAGUCUCUUACAAAAGGGCAAGCUCUGAACUGCGCACAGUUUCAUAGGUCUCUAAUCGUGGGAAACCUCGUAUGGCAGAAUGCAGGUCCAAAAGUCCUGGACUCUGAUCCAGAUAAACGGAAGUCUCAGGAAGAAAUAAAGAAAUUGGGACACAGAGAAUGUAAAUGGAGAUGCAGUGGAAUCAGACUCCAGAGUUCCCACUCAAAAACUUUUCUCUCUCUCCUAUCUUGUGAGGAAGGACAUUUUAGGUAUUACUUCAUCUAGAAAGGAAUGGCUCUUCAGCGAGGCAAGCAGAACUGGGAAUGCAGAGCCCAGGUUUGCAGCUUCACUUCUGAAGUCAAGC
This 728-nucleotide long non-coding RNA is filed under the name Homo sapiens (human). RNAcentral's name for it is "HSALNT0311330". The record is from RNAcentral. Lineage: Eukaryota; Metazoa; Chordata; Mammalia; Primates; Hominidae.